GACGAACGCUGGCGGCGUGCCUAAUACAUGCAAGUUGAGCGAUGAAGCUUGGUGCUUGCACCAAUUUGAAGAGCAGCGAGCGGGUGAGUAACGCGUGGGGAAUCUGCCUUUGAGCGGGGGACAACAUUUGGAAACGAAUGCUAAUACCGCAUAACAACUUUAAACAUAAGUUUUAAGUUUGAAAGAUGCAAUUGCAUCACUCAAAGAUGAUCCCGCGUUGUAUUAGCUAGUUGGUGAGGUAAAGGCUCACCAAGGCGAUGAUACAUAGCCGACCUGAGAGGGGGAUCGGCCACCUUGGGACUGAGACAAGGCCCAAACUCCUACGGGAGGCAGCAGUAGGGAAUCUUCGGCAAUGGACGAAAGUCUGACCGAGCAACGCCGCGUGAGUGAAGAAGGUUUUCGGAUCGUAAAACUCUGUUGGUAGAGAAGAACGUUGGUGAGAGUGGAAAGCUCAUCAAGUGACGGUAACUACCCAGAAAGGGACGGCUAACUACGUG
This 497-nucleotide ribosomal RNA is filed under the name uncultured bacterium. RNAcentral's name for it is "partial 16S ribosomal RNA". It matches the Rfam family "Bacterial small subunit ribosomal RNA", at positions 28 to 507 of the family's 1533-position model. The record is from RNAcentral.